This 498-nucleotide ribosomal RNA is filed under the name uncultured bacterium. RNAcentral describes it as "partial 16S ribosomal RNA". It matches the Rfam family "Bacterial small subunit ribosomal RNA", at positions 30 to 523 of the family's 1533-position model. The record is from RNAcentral.
AUUGAACGCUGGCGGCAUGCCUUACACAUGCAAGUCGAACGGUAACAGGUCUUCGGAUGCUGACGAGUGGCGAACGGGUGAGUAAUACAUCGGAACGUGCCCAGUAGUGGGGGAUAACUACUCGAAAGAGUGGCUAAUACCGCAUGAGAUCCACGGAUGAAAGCAGGGGAUCGCAAGACCUUGUGCUACUAGAGCGGCCGAUGGCAGAUUAGGUAGUUGGUGGGAUAAAAGCUUACCAAGCCGACGAUCUGUAGCUGGUCUGAGAGGACGAUCAGCCACACUGGGACUGGGACACGGCCCAGACUCCUACGGGAGGCAGCAGUGGGGAAUUUUGGACAAUGGGCGCAAGCCUGAUCCAGCAAUGCCGCGUGCAGGAUGAAGGCCUUCGGGUUGUAAACUGCUUUUGUACGGAACGAAAAGCCCUGGGUUAAUACCCUGGGGUCAUGACGGUACCGUAAGAAUAAGCACCGGCUAACUACGUGCCAGCAGCCGCGGUAA